Molecule: small RNA, 488 nt
Filed under: Pongo abelii (Sumatran orangutan)
Lineage: Eukaryota; Metazoa; Chordata; Mammalia; Primates; Hominidae
Description: processed transcript
Source: RNAcentral
CGCCUCUGCGAAGCCCCUGCCUCGGGCCCUGUGCAACGCUUUUUCCGACGGAGUCUUGCUCUGUCGCCCAGGCUGGAGUGCAAUGGCAUGAUCUCGGCUCACUGCAACCUCUGCCUCCUGGGUUCAGGCGAUUCUCCUGCCUCAGUCUCCCAAGUAGCUGGGAUUACAGGUGCGUGCGACCAGGCCUGGCUAAUUGUUUGUAUUUUUAGCAGAGGCGGGGUUUCACCAUGUUGGCCAAGCUGGUCUCGAUCCUGACCUGAAGCAAUUCACCCUCCUUGGCCUCCCAAAGUGCUGGGAUUACAGGGAAGAAAAGUCAGAAGACCAGGACCUCCAGGGCCUCAAGGACAAACCCCUCAAGUUUAAAAAGGUGAAGAAAGAUAAGAAAGAAGAGAAAGAGGGCAAGCAUGAGCCCGUGCAGCCGUCAGCCCACCACUCUGCCGAGCCCGCAGAGGCAGGCAAAGCAGAGACAUCAGAAGGGUCGGGCUCCG